RNAcentral lists this transfer RNA (84 nucleotides) under Candidatus Zixiibacteriota bacterium. Its description in RNAcentral is "candidate division Zixibacteria bacterium tRNA-Leu". It matches the Rfam family "tRNA". Rfam says of the family: Transfer RNA (tRNA) molecules are approximately 80 nucleotides in length. The record is from RNAcentral. Lineage: Bacteria; Pseudomonadati; Candidatus Zixiibacteriota.
GCCGAAGUGGUGGAAUUGGUAGACACGCUGUGUUCAGGGCGCAGUGUCUUAACGGGCGUGGGGGUUCAAAUCCCCCCUUCGGCA